RNAcentral lists this ribosomal RNA (432 nucleotides) under uncultured bacterium. RNAcentral describes it as "bacterial SSU rRNA". It matches the Rfam family "Bacterial small subunit ribosomal RNA", at positions 96 to 524 of the family's 1533-position model. The record is from RNAcentral.
UGGCGGACGGGUGAGUAACACAUCGGAACGUGCCUAGUAGUGGGGGAUAACUACUCGAAAGAGUAGCUAAUACCGCAUGAGAUCUACGGAUGAAAGCAGGGGACCUUCGGGCCUUGUGCUACUAGAGCGGCUGAUGGCAGAUUAGGUAGUUGGUGGGGUAAAGGCUUACCAAGCCUGCGAUCUGUAGCUGGUCUGAGAGGACGACCAGCCACACUGGGACUGAGACACGGCCCAGACUCCUACGGGAGGCAGCAGUGGGGAAUUUUGGACAAUGGGCGAAAGCCUGAUCCAGCAAUGCCGCGUGCAGGAUGAAGGCCCUCGGGUUGUAAACUGCUUUUGUACGGAACGAAAAGCCUGGGGCUAAUAUCCCCGGGUCAUGACGGUACCGUAAGAAUAAGCACCGGCUAACUACGUGCCAGCAGCCGCGGUAAU